This is a long non-coding RNA of Acinonyx jubatus (cheetah), 3115 nucleotides long. RefSeq lists it as uncharacterized. The transcript is spliced from 2 exons. The record is from RefSeq and is a predicted model, not a curated record. NCBI's taxonomy places the organism in Eukaryota, Metazoa, Chordata, Mammalia, Carnivora, Felidae.
CUGCUCUUUCUUUAGGAGCUGGUGUCGGUACUCCUGAGCUCUUCGAUUGGCCUCCUGGAGCUGCUGCUGUAGGAGCUCUCUUUUGGUGCCCUCCUGUAAAAGGAAACCACAUCACCGCCAGAUAUUUAAGAGAGAAAGAAGUCCUUGUGGGAAGAAGGAGGGGAAUGGGAUAAUCUCUGCUGGCUCAAGGAAAUCUGUGAGAACAGAAGAAAGGUAACGAGAAGGAGAAAUGGAAUUGAAGAAACCACAGUAUGACGACCCAUUUUUCUUUUUCUCUUGCACACGUCUCCACCGGGCAGCCAGCUGUACAAACAACUGUGCCACAAAUGAGGGCGGGGCCCUUACUGCUCUUGCAGAUUACUAAGCUCCCUCAAAAUCUUUAAGCUACUACUGAAGGCAGACAGUUGAGAGUCCCCGUUUUUUCCUCCAUCACAAACCCUCCAGUUGCAGACAGCAACAUUGUCCUUCAGGAAGAAGAGUCAAUGGGGGUAGUAAGCCAAGGUCUUGGCCCGGCGGGGGGCGCUGAGCUCCGCGCUGCCCCCUAGCGGUCACCUCUGUGGCCCUAGCUUCCCUGGGUCCAGCUCCCCAGCCCCAGGUCUUACACCCACCCCCUUCUUCACCUCCUCUCAGUCCCCUCCCCUUCCUCCCGGCCGCAUCCCCUUCCUCUUCGUCCCCCUCCCCGAGCUGCCCCCGCUCCGGUGAAGGGGCGCCGCUCAGUCUGCACCCAGAAGUUCGGGGGUGGGCUGGGCGCCGUGCGCCUUCCCACGGCAGUCUCCCUUCCAGCCCUCACGCCCCCCAGAGUACACAUCUUCUUCCCCCUCACCUCCUCGUCCGGGACGCUGCCGGCCGCGCUUUCACCGAGCCCGCCAGUUUGGUCCCGUUUCCUUCUCUAGUUAAGACUCCCUGUCACUGACGGUUACUUUUUGGCCUUUUCAUAUAUGCAUAUUUUGGGGGCCUUUAACCCCCCCUCGUGGAGAAAUGGAGGCAACAAGAUGGCGGACCCGGAAGUGAAGACUCAGCGAAUACAAUUUCUGGCGGAGGGAUCUGUGAGGAGACAAUGACCAGAAAACCCACAUUUCCAUUAGAACCGAAGAGCGGCGCACCUCCGAGGCUCAUUUUUUUUCCACCGAUGGCCUUUUGAAGUGGAAAAGCGUGUAUCCGAGACGACCCAGAGAGGACUAUUUGGCGAGGCGGAGGAUUGUUGUUACGUGUCUUACGUGUCGUGUAGUUCCGGUAGGGGGAUGGACCCGAUGGUUUGUUUUGGCGCCAAGAGGCCGGCGUCGUGCAGAGGGCAAAUCGGUAUCAGCGUCGAUCCUGUACCCUCUUGGUAACUUGUCUGGGGGCCAGCCUUAGGAUUGAUGGGAAAACUUUCUCUGUCUCAGCCUCCGGUGAAACUGUUGGAGACGUUCCUGGCUUUGUGCUCAAGUUGAGCCCUGGUGUGUGCUCAGAAUAGUGGAACAAAUAAUGGAGGCUUUUUUGAGGGGCCUGGAAGGGCAUGCAGCUUGAGUUUGCAAACCCACUUAACGCAUUUUACUUACCAGAUGAUUCUCACCUUCGCCCACCGAUCGCCACUACCUAAGGGCAGCGAGAAAUCGGGAAAGAAGCCCUUCAAAAGUACGUGAACGUAGAAAAGGACACAUUUCGGCUCUACUUUCAUUAGAUCUUGGCUUUUGUCGGUUUUGGUGGGCCUUUCAAAGCCAACUGUUUUCGCGUCUACCUCCUUUUCUGAACUUGGUAGUGCCAUCUUUAAAGUAUGGCAUACUCCCCAAGUAUGAUCCACCUUGGUAUUUACAGCUUCCCUUUUUUUGAGAGUCAAAAUCUUGUUUCAUUGCCGUGUGUAUCCUUUUAUAUCUCCUGGCUCAUUGCCUUUCGUAUAGUAAGGACCCAAAAAUGACCAGUGGGGCUUUGUUUUGAAUGAGUUGAGUUAUAAAUAAGCAGAUAACGUAUUUGGAUGACUUAGUUUCUUUUUUUAAGGCAUCUAUACUGAGAUCAUUAAGAGCACGGUUCGUGCCACAGAUGCCUUCUGAGACAUCUAGAAUUACUCCCUCAGUAUGUUGGUAGCCAAUGGUCAAGCAGAAGAGUGGUUGUUUGCAUUUCUUCCUAAAUAGCUUUGUAAUUUUAAGUUGAUUUCACCCUUAUUGAUACCUAUCCAACCUGAUAUUCAUCAUUUUUAAUGUACAAAGGCUACUAAAAGAACUCUUAUUGAAAGACAAUAUAUAAGCUGAAGGUGAAAGCAAGGCUAAUUUCGGAGAUCUAUACCGCUUCUCUUUGAAGAGAGAGAAAACUAGAAUCCAGGCCUGGGAUUGAAUGUCUUUAUUCAAGAAAUGAGAAAAUGGCAGCACAGAUCAGCAGCAAUAAUUUUGGAAGGAAUGGGGGUACGAGGUGUAGGGUCAUAAUGUGAUUAUUUCAAGGUCUCAAGGUAGCUGAGGAACUGUGCCUGAGGCCCAUUGAUCAGUAUUCUCCAUUGCAGACGCAGGAGGUGGCAAGACUAAAACACUAAAGGCCAAACCCUAUUAUGCCUUUUAGAAACAGAAUCAUACCUUACAAAUUAUCAUAGUACUCAGCAAGAUUACAUUUUAGGAUUUGAAAUUGGAGUCAUUUCCUUCAGCUAGCGUUAGGAGCAAAGUUGUAAAGUGCAAAGGUUUGAAGGACUACCCCUUUGACAAUAUAGUUAUUUCUGAAACGAUUCAAUUCUUUCCCUUAUUUUCGUUUUCCAUGAGGUAUUAUCACCUCUUGUUUUAUACCUUUCAUUACACCCGAUUUCUCUGAGGAAAAGAAGGUAUUGUAAGGAGCAAGAUCCAACAGCGAGACUUAACACCUUAACAGCCUUUUAGAAAUCCUACUGUCUCAUAGUAGAUAAUCUCAAAGCUUCCAGGGUUUUCAGCGACUGUUGAAGAAAGAUUUGUGUUUACCGAUCUGGAGCAGGAUAUUAGGUUUGAGCAAUCUCUGAAGAAGAUUAAAAUGAAAAAAAAAAAAAAUUGUCCCCCAUUUUGAACUACUAUACUACUCUCUGGCGCCCCCCACCAGGCUUCUUUCUGGAAUUAGUGUCUGGGGGGAUAACUUUGGGGCUUAAGGGCUUUUGAGAAAAACUGAUAACAUAAAUAAAUAAAUAAAU